GGCCUUGACAUCCACGGAAUUUGGCAGAGAUGCCUUAGUGCCUUCGGGAACCGUGAGACAGGUGCUGCAUGGCUGUCGUCAGCUCGUGUUGUGAAAUGUUGGGUUAAGUCCCGNAACGAGCGCAACCCUUAUCCUUUGUUGCCAGCGAUUCGGUCGGGAACUCAAAGGAGACUGCCGGUGAUAAACCGGAGGAAGGUGGGGAUGACGUCAAGUCAUCAUGGCCCUUACGGCCAGGGCUACACACGUGCUACAAUGGCGCAUACAAAGAGAAGCGACCUCGCGAGAGCAAGCGGACCUCAUAAAGUGCGUCGUAGUCCGGAUUGGAGUCUGCAACUCGACUCCAUGAAGUCGGAAUCGCUAGUAAUCGUAGAUCAGAAUGCUACGGUGAAUACGUUCCCGGGCCUUGUACACACCGCCCGUCACACCAUGGGAGUGGGUUGCAAAAGAAGUAGGUAGCUUAACCUUCGGGAGGGCGCUUACCACUUUGUGAUUCAUGACUGGGGUGAAGUCGUAACAAGGUAGGCGUACUACA
RNAcentral lists this ribosomal RNA (532 nucleotides) under uncultured bacterium. Its description in RNAcentral is "bacterial SSU rRNA". It matches the Rfam family "Bacterial small subunit ribosomal RNA", at positions 977 to 1509 of the family's 1533-position model. The record is from RNAcentral.